CCAGAUCCUCUGUAUACAACCCGUCAAGGAAUUACCCCUACCACUGUCAAUUUUCAAUUCUACCACUCAUAAGAUUAAUUAAACGAGAUUACUCCAUGCCUUUCCAGCUACUGGUCAACAAUAUUACGUAGUAGUCAGGCAACCGAGUCACCAUGCAAACGAGGCAGACAACGUGAGCCAUGCUGUACGAGAUAGUCCCUUUAACAGCUUUCAAGUUGGAAAAGAGAGAAAAGUACAGAAUACGGUCUUCCAACUGCUUAAUCCUGGCGUACACGUCUUGCGGUACAGAACAUCCUGUUUGAGGACGCCGUUUUAUUUUAUGCACAGUUCAUUGUCCUUGCAAGCACAUAAUAAGUUACCCGACUUGAUCUUCAAAUGAGACUCCAUGUUGCGCAGCCUCUCGUGAAUACCCUCAACUGGUGGCGAAACCGCUCGUCUCUUGGCAUGCGAUGGAGUGUCUGAAGGUUUUGGUCGCAGUAGUUUUGUCAUGGGCCCCCACUGGUUUACCACACGACUCACUGAGUGUAAUUGACUCAUGUUUAAUGCAUCUGUACAAUAAAUUGGCCAUUCCAUUACCUUUCACAUGACUACUUCCGC
Long non-coding RNA from Ornithodoros turicata, 597 nucleotides. RefSeq lists it as uncharacterized. The record is from RefSeq and is a predicted model, not a curated record. The transcript is spliced from 3 exons. Lineage: Eukaryota; Metazoa; Arthropoda; Arachnida; Ixodida; Argasidae.